UUAGNUAUUCAANUUGUUCAGAGGCUGAANCCNUUUGGGANUUAUUGAAGACUAACUACUGCGNAAAGCAUUUGCCAAGGAUGUUUUCAUUGAUCAAGAACGAAAGUUAGGGGAUCGAAGACGAUCAGAUACCGUCGUAGUCUUAACCAUAAACUAUGCCGACUAGGGAUCGGAUGAUGUUAAUUUUUUAAUGACUCA
Molecule: ribosomal RNA, 198 nt
Filed under: uncultured Glomeromycotina
Lineage: Eukaryota; Fungi; Glomeromycota
Description: partial small subunit ribosomal RNA
Rfam family: Eukaryotic small subunit ribosomal RNA
Source: RNAcentral